Molecule: microRNA precursor, 107 nt
Filed under: Chlorocebus sabaeus (green monkey)
Lineage: Eukaryota; Metazoa; Chordata; Mammalia; Primates; Cercopithecidae
Description: miRNA (ENSCSAG00000025813.1)
Source: RNAcentral
CCUAUUUAUUAGGUUGGUGAAAAAGUAAUUGUGCAUUUUGCCAUAAAAGGAUGACAAACACUGCAAUUACUUUUGCACCAACCCAAUAUUAGGGAUAAUAGGACAAU